Molecule: long non-coding RNA, 518 nt
Organism: Triticum aestivum (bread wheat)
Lineage: Eukaryota; Viridiplantae; Streptophyta; Magnoliopsida; Poales; Poaceae
Exons: 4
Source: RefSeq, a predicted model, not a curated record
GUUCUAUUGUGAAUGACUUGGAGGUUGUGGAAACCCUUGUUGCUAAUAUGAGUCUGGAGGAAAAGCUUGACGAAAAGCAACAAGAAGAAGCUGGCAGUGAUGAUGACAAUUUUGAUUAUACCAUGAGUACUUCAACUUUAGGGGAGAGGCUAGCUAUGCAAGAUAAUCAAGGAACCGAUAUUGAAUAAGAGGCUGAUCACCUGCAUCCGGAGCAAGAAGUUUAGGGUGAUGCCAGUGGAUUGGAAGAACACCAUGUCGAAGAGAAAUCAAGGAUGAUUACCGGCUUCUACUUGAUCGAAUACUUGCCUUUCAUAAUAAAUAAAAACUUCGAUUGAAUUAAGUUUUUCUUAAGUACGACCUUCGUCUUGGGCUCUAUGUGUAAUGCUAUCAGCAUUUUAUCGGUACUGCAUAUUGUUGCUAUACUGGUGAUUUAUAACUUUAGAACGCCACUCUCUAGUGUUACGCGCUUGGAUGAAAACAUGUUUUCAUAUUGUUGCUUAGUAGAAAUAAAUCAUGUC